Molecule: ribosomal RNA, 253 nt
Filed under: uncultured bacterium
Lineage: Bacteria
Description: partial 16S ribosomal RNA
Rfam family: Bacterial small subunit ribosomal RNA
Source: RNAcentral
UACGAAGGGUGCAAGCGUUACUCGGAAUUACUGGGCGUAAAGCGUGCGUAGGCGGUUUGUUAAGUCCGUUGUGAAAGCCCCCGGCUCAACUGGGGAGGGUCACGCGAUACUGCUCGACUUGAAGGCAGGAGAGGGAAGUGGAAUUCCCGGUGUAGUGGUGAAAUGCGUAGAUAUCGGGAGGAACACCAGUGGCGAAGGCGACUUCCUGGUCUGUUCUUGACGCUGAGGCGCGAAAGCUAGGGUAGCAAACGGG